ACAAUCAUCUGGAAUUCUUGUUAAAAUGUAGAUUCUGAAUGCUUAGGUCUGGGUGGGGCCCGAGUUUGUGUAUUUCUAACAAGUUCUCAGAGCAUGCAGAU
This 101-nucleotide microRNA precursor is filed under the name Marmota monax (woodchuck). The record is from RNAcentral. Lineage: Eukaryota; Metazoa; Chordata; Mammalia; Rodentia; Sciuridae.